This 440-nucleotide ribosomal RNA is filed under the name uncultured bacterium. Its description in RNAcentral is "partial 16S ribosomal RNA". It matches the Rfam family "Bacterial small subunit ribosomal RNA", at positions 339 to 795 of the family's 1533-position model. The record is from RNAcentral.
CUACGGGCUGCUGCAGUGGGGAAUAUUGCACAAUGGGCGCAAGCCUGAUGCAGCAACGCCGCGUGAACGAUGAAGGCCUUCGGGUUGUAAAGUUCUUUUCUUAGGGAAGAAUAAAUGACGGUACCUAAGGAAUCAGCCCCGGCUAACUACGUGCCAGCAGCCGCGGUAAUACGUAGGGGGCAAGCGUUAUCCGGAAUCACUGGGCGGAAAGGGAGUGUAGGCGGUCAAGCAAGUCAGGGGUGAAAGGCAUCGGCUCAACCGAUGUAAGCCUUUGAAACUGUUUGACUUGAGUGCAGGAGAGGUAAGUGGAAUUCCUAGUGUAGCGGUGAAAUGCGUAGAUAUUAGGAGGAACACCAGUGGCGAAGGCGACUUACUGGACUGUAACUGACGCUGAGGCUCGAAAGCGUGGGGAGCGAACAGGAUUAGAUACCCCAGUAGUC